Molecule: ribosomal RNA, 458 nt
Filed under: uncultured bacterium
Lineage: Bacteria
Description: bacterial SSU rRNA
Rfam family: Bacterial small subunit ribosomal RNA
Source: RNAcentral
GACGAACGCUGGCGGCGUGCUUAACACAUGCAAGUCGAACGGGAGUAUUGAAGAAGCUUGCUUUAGAGAUACUUUAGUGGCGGACGGGUGAGUAACGCGUGAGGAGCUGUCCUAUGCAGGGGGACAACAGCUGGAAACGGCUGCUAAUACCCCAUAAGCCGAGAGGUAAAAGGAUCAAUCCGGCAGAGGAGGUACUCGCGUCCUAUCAGCUAGUAGGUGAGGUAACGGCUCACCUAGGCGAAGACGGGUAGCCGGCCUGAGAGGGCGAACGGCCAACGACUGGAACUGAGAUACGGUCCAGACUCCUACGGGAGGCAGCAGUGGGGAAUAUUGGGCAAUGGGGGAAACCCUGACCCAGCGACGCCGCGUGGGUGAAGAAAUCCUUCGGGAUGUAAAGCCCUGUUGUAUGGGAAGAGCGGAAGACGGUACCAUACGAGGAAGCCCCGGCAAACUACGUG